RNAcentral lists this ribosomal RNA (253 nucleotides) under uncultured bacterium. Its description in RNAcentral is "partial 16S ribosomal RNA". It matches the Rfam family "Bacterial small subunit ribosomal RNA", at positions 524 to 776 of the family's 1533-position model. The record is from RNAcentral.
UACGUAGGUGACAAGCGUUGUCCGGAUUUACUGGGCGUAAAGGGCGUGCAGGCGGUUUGUUAAGUGCAGGGUGAAAGCUCCCGGCUCAACUGGGAGAGGUCCUUGCAUACUGGCGAACUCGAGGGAGGCAGAGGAAAGUGGAAUUCCCGGUGUAGUGGUGAUAUGCGUAGAUAUCGGGAGGAACACCUGUGGCGAAGGCGGCUUUCUGGGCCUUACCUGACGCUGAGACGCGAAAGCGUGGGGAGCGAACCGG